This 412-nucleotide ribosomal RNA is filed under the name Klebsiella pneumoniae. RNAcentral's name for it is "bacterial SSU rRNA". It matches the Rfam family "Bacterial small subunit ribosomal RNA", at positions 1 to 407 of the family's 1533-position model. Lineage: Bacteria; Pseudomonadati; Pseudomonadota; Gammaproteobacteria; Enterobacterales; Enterobacteriaceae. The record is from RNAcentral.
ACUUAAAUUGAAGAGUUUGAUCAUGGCUCAGAUUGAACGCUGGCGGCAGGCCUAACACAUGCAAGUCGAGCGGUAGCACAGAGAGCUUGCUCUCGGGUGACGAGCGGCGGACGGGUGAGUAAUGUCUGGGAAACUGCCUGAUGGAGGGGGAUAACUACUGGAAACGGUAGCUAAUACCGCAUAACGUCGCAAGACCAAAGUGGGGGACCUUCGGGCCUCAUGCCAUCAGAUGUGCCCAGAUGGGAUUAGCUAGUAGGUGGGGUAACGGCUCACCUAGGCGACGAUCCCUAGCUGGUCUGAGAGGAUGACCAGCCACACUGGAACUGAGACACGGUCCAGACUCCUACGGGAGGCAGCAGUGGGGAAUAUUGCACAAUGGGCGCAAGCCUGAUGCAGCCAUGCCGCGUGUGUG